This 202-nucleotide ribosomal RNA is filed under the name uncultured Thermovirga sp. RNAcentral's name for it is "partial 16S ribosomal RNA". It matches the Rfam family "Bacterial small subunit ribosomal RNA", at positions 1186 to 1382 of the family's 1533-position model. The record is from RNAcentral. Lineage: Bacteria; Thermotogati; Synergistota; Synergistia; Synergistales; Thermovirgaceae.
CAAGUCAUCAGUCGGUCCCUUACGUCCAGGGCGACACACGUGCUACAAUGGCCGGCACAGCGGGAAGCGGAGGGGCGACCCUGAGCGGAUCCCUUGAAAGCCGGUCCCAGUUCGGAUUGCAGUCUGCAACUCGACUGCAUGAAGUUGGAAUCGCUAGUAAUCGCGGAUCAGCCAAGCCGCGGUGAAUACGUUCCCGGGCCUU